UACGUAGGGCGCAAGCGUUGUCCGGAAUUAUUGGGCGUAAAGAGCUCGUAGGCGGCCUGUUGCGUCCGCUGUGAAAUCCCGGGGCUCAACCCCGGGCCUGCAGUGGAUACGGGCUGGCUAGAGGCAGGCAGGGGAGAACGGGAAUUCCUGGUGUAGCGGUGAAAUGCGCAGAUAUCAGGAGGAACACCGGUGGCGAAGGCGGUUCUCUGGGCCUGUACUGACGCUGAGGAGCGAAAGCGUGGGGAGCGAACAGG
Molecule: ribosomal RNA, 254 nt
Filed under: uncultured bacterium
Lineage: Bacteria
Description: partial 16S ribosomal RNA
Rfam family: Bacterial small subunit ribosomal RNA
Source: RNAcentral